Molecule: ribosomal RNA, 465 nt
Filed under: Vreelandella stevensii
Lineage: Bacteria; Pseudomonadati; Pseudomonadota; Gammaproteobacteria; Oceanospirillales; Halomonadaceae
Description: partial 16S ribosomal RNA
Rfam family: Bacterial small subunit ribosomal RNA
Source: RNAcentral
CCUACGGGAGGCAGCAGUGGGGAAUAUUGGACAAUGGGGGCAACCCUGAUCCAGCCAUGCCGCGUGUGUGAAGAAGGCCCUCGGGUUGUAAAGCACUUUCAGUGAGGAAGAACGCUUGGUGGUUAAUACCCAUCAGGAAAGACAUCACUCACAGAAGAAGCACCGGCUAACUCCGUGCCAGCAGCCGCGGUAAUACGGAGGGUGCGAGCGUUAAUCGGAAUUACUGGGCGUAAAGCGCGCGUAGGUGGCUUGAUAAGCCGGUUGUGAAAGCCCCGGGCUCAACCUGGGAACGGCAUCCGGAACUGGCAAGCUAGAGUGCAGGAGAGGAAGGUAGAAUUCCCGGUGUAGCGGUGAAAUGCGUAGAGAUCGGGAGGAAUACCAGUGGCGAAGGCGGCCUUCUGGACUGACACUGACGCUGAGGUGCGAAAGCGUGGGUAGCAAACAGGAUUAGAUACCCUGGUAGUC